RNAcentral lists this long non-coding RNA (772 nucleotides) under Hordeum vulgare. Its description in RNAcentral is "long non-coding RNA (HVUL_LNC009192)". Lineage: Eukaryota; Viridiplantae; Streptophyta; Magnoliopsida; Poales; Poaceae. The record is from RNAcentral.
ACCGAGCAGGGCAGCGCCACCGCCCAGGUCGCCGCCGUGGUCGUCCUCGGCAUGGCGCCUGAGAACAAGGCCGGGCAGUUCGAGGGGGCCGCCGGCCAGUCCGGCGAGGGCUGCAGCUGCGGCGACAACUGCAAGUGCAACCCCUGCAACUGUUAAAGCUGCUACGUAAGUGUGAUGGUGUGAGAGUAUACGUGAAUAACGAGCGUCUGAUGAUCUGAUGGAGUCGGGCAAGGGUGCGUGUGCGUGCGCGUGUGCGUGUGGUGUGGUUUACUUGCUCGCUCUCCGCCUAUGCUCUGCCCUCGGUGUCGUGUGUAUGUAUGUGCUUGUGUCUCGGUAAUUGCUCCAUUGUCUCCACUACGAUGGAGUCAUGAAUAUAUAAGAUUGAAAGGUUUACCUAAUUAUUAACUACUAAAUCGCUACUUCAGUUAACUGAUUUUUUCGGCCACCCAUCUUCAGUUAUUCUCUAACAUGAAAUAUACAGCCAAGGAAUAAUUUGCCUCAAGAAUUUGUUGAUUCCUUGUGUAGAAUGAAGAUUUCGAUCGACAAUUGCAAUCGCUAAAACUUCCAACGAUUCUUAAGGGGAAAAUGACAGAAAAAAAGGUUGUACGCAAAGUGAGAACUAUGUUCCUGUGUUGUUUCUGGACAGCCCUCUGUGCCGGUCGACCGACACUAACCCUAGAUAGGUACGCGUCCAAUCAUUGGAUAGAGAUGUAUGUAACUGUUGGAUCUAUUUCCUAUGUCGUUCCCUUCGUCUCAUGCAAAAAAAAAAAAA